ACAGACGAUUUGAAAMGAAUGAAUUCACCACCNCNGGCANGACGCUCCAGGCGACCUUAGGUCGGAUUUUGSCCAACCGCGUGCGGUAACACCCGGGAGACCAGCUUCCGUCCGAUAUCCUCGAUAGGAUGGGGGGACCACSMUUUGUGACACCCWGGCAGACGUGCCCUCGGCCAGAAGGCUUGGGGCGCAACWUGCGUUCAAAGACUCGAUGGGUCACGGGAUUCUGCAAUUCACACCAAAUAUCRCAUUUCGCUACGUUCUUCAUUGAYGCGAGAGCCRAGAUAUCCGUUGCCGAAAGUCRUUUUUGACUUUAAAUUGCAAACUGCUUCCGAACAAACACCGUCUCCGGGUU
RNAcentral lists this unclassified non-coding RNA (355 nucleotides) under Brassica bourgeaui. RNAcentral's name for it is "sequence contains ITS1, 5.8S rRNA gene and ITS2". Lineage: Eukaryota; Viridiplantae; Streptophyta; Magnoliopsida; Brassicales; Brassicaceae. The record is from RNAcentral.